AUUGAACGCUGGCGGAAUGCUUUACACAUGCAAGUCGAACGGCAGCACGGGGGCAGCCCUGGUGGCGAGUGGCGAACGGGUGAGUAAUACAUCGGAACGUGCCCGGUCGUGGGGGAUAACGUAGCGAAAGUUACGCUAAUACCGCAUACGAUCUGAGGAUGAAAGCGGGGGACCUUCGGGCCUCGCGCGAUCGGAGCGGCCGAUGUCAGAUUAGGUAGUUGGUGGGGUAAAGGCCUACCAAGCCGACGAUCUGUAGCUGGUCUGAGAGGACGACCAGCCACACUGGGACUGAGACACGGCCCAGACUCCUACGGGAGGCAGCAGUGGGGAAUUUUGGACAAUGGGCGUAAGCCUGAUCCAGCCAUUCCGCGUGCAGGACGAAGGCCUUCGGGUUGUAAACUGCUUUUGUACGGAACGAAAAGGCUCUGGCUAAUACCUGGGGCUCAUGACGGUACCGUAAGAAUAAGCACCGGCUAACUACGUG
Molecule: ribosomal RNA, 484 nt
Filed under: uncultured bacterium
Lineage: Bacteria
Description: partial 16S ribosomal RNA
Rfam family: Bacterial small subunit ribosomal RNA
Source: RNAcentral